CCUACGGGAGGCAGCAGUGAGGAAUAUUGGUCAAUGGGCGCGAGCCUGAACCAGCCAAGUAGCGUGAAGGAUGACUGCCCUACGGGGUGUAAACUUCUUUUAUAAAGGAAUAAAGUGAGGCACGUGUGCCUUUUUGUAUGUACUUUAUGAAUAAGGAUCGGCUAACUCCGUGCCAGCAGCCGCGGUAAUACGGAGGACCCGAGCUUUAUCCGGAUUUAUUGGGUUUAAAGGGAGCGUAGAUGGGUUGUUAAGUCAGUUGUGAAAGUUUGCGGCUCAACCGUAAAAUUGCAAUUGAUACUGGCAGUCUUGAGUCCAGUUGAGGUAGGCUGAAUUCGUGGUGUAGCGGUGAAAUGCUUAGAUAUCACGAAGAACCCCGAUUGCGAAGGCAGCUUACUAAACUGUGACUGACAUUGAUGCUCGAAAGUGUGGGUAUCAAACAGGAUUAGCUCCCCCAGUAGUC
This 460-nucleotide ribosomal RNA is filed under the name uncultured bacterium. Its description in RNAcentral is "partial 16S ribosomal RNA". It matches the Rfam family "Bacterial small subunit ribosomal RNA", at positions 338 to 795 of the family's 1533-position model. The record is from RNAcentral.